CUUUCUGAGUGAAGUCGCUGUGAGUGUGAGAGCUGCUGCGCAAUAAAACUGCUAGGUCGGUCCCGACUUAUAACUAUUGUAUAAAAAACGUUUACCAUUAAAGCUAUUAUUAUAUUAUAGAUACUGGUACUAUUUAUGUAAACGCUGCGUAACUUUCAUGUGUUUGAUGGGCGCGCGCGUUGAACAUUCGAGGCGCUUUUAAACUGGAGUGGAAGGAGUUUCCAUGGAAACGGGGCGGCAACUCAGCUGACAAGUAGCAAAAAAACUCCGUCUCUCACUGUUGUUUUUACUGCUUUCAGAAAUGGUUCAGUGUCAUCGGAAAAAGUCCGUUAGCAUCACAACCGUGAGCUAACCAGAGGCUAACUAUAAGAGUCGUCCAUGCUGAUGGCCGUGCAGCAGAGUUGGAGGGGACCUCUUGUCGAAGAACAUCUCCAAGACACUAUGAGCAUCUGACUAGCUUUUUGUGAAGACAGAAAAUCAAGAGAUGUUGUGACAACCUGGACAGAAUUCAGCUCCGGAUCCACCCUCCACACCAGACUUCUCACGCACAAGGACUGCUGUCUACUAGCAUAUUGCGUUCUCUUCAGUGCAUGGAGAUAUUACCUGAUUUUUAGAUAUAAUGAAAACUCUAUCAUAUAUAUAUAUAUAUAUAUAUAUAUAUAUAUGAAGAGUUCAGAUGCAAAAGCCUCUAAAUGCCAUCUGAAAUUUUCUUCUAAAAUGAGCAUUUUUCUCAAGCUCCUAUAUUUAUGUUCAGUUAUUUCAUUUUAAUUGCAUAGAAAAUGACCUAUAUAUUGCCAUUAGAGUAAAAUAACUGAACCUAAACAUAGCAGCUUGAUAAAAAUGCUAAUUUUAGAUGGCACUUAGAGGCUUUUGCAUCUGAACUCUUCAUAUAUAUAUAUACACUAUAUUGCCAAAAGUAUUGGGUCACCCCCUUCUAAUGAACAGGUUUGACUACUUUAGCAAUUUCCAUGAGUACAAAUCUUAAUGUUUAAGCAUAUAAUGAUAUUCUAGGGAAUUGUGUGCUUCUAAUUUUAAAGCAACAGUUUGGACAGGACCCUUUUCUAUACUAACAUGACAAUGUCUCUGUGUAUAAGGCAAGGUUCAAAAAGAAAAGAUUGAUUGAGUCAGUGUGGAAGAACUUGACUGGUCUGCAGAAAGCCAAGUCCUAAUCCAAGCUGAACACCUCUGGUGUGACUUUAAAUGUUACAUUGUCUGGAGAGUUUUUCAGUGUCCAAAUGUUGUUUGUAUUCUAUUUAUUAUGAAGGGGCAAAUUAUAAUCUCGAUAAUGAAAACAUGUACAUGUGUGGAUAUUUAAUUUAGUUACAUAUAGUUUGAGUAAACGGGAAUAUAUUCUA
Onychostoma macrolepis is the source of this 1355-nucleotide long non-coding RNA. RefSeq lists it as uncharacterized. NCBI's taxonomy places the organism in Eukaryota, Metazoa, Chordata, Actinopteri, Cypriniformes, Cyprinidae. The transcript is spliced from 4 exons. The record is from RefSeq and is a predicted model, not a curated record.